GCAGCAUUGAGUAGUAUUGUUGUUGUUCCGCCAAGUGCAUCAUGGUCUUUCUUCCUGUUAAUGUGCGAUGGACGUACAAGGGAUUGGUGCGGAGACUUCGUUGUGUAGAAUAGUAGGUAAAUGCAUGCAUGUCUUGUAAAAUAUUCAUGUACAAGUGUAUAAAAUGUAAUCACCUGCCAAUAUUUUAACUAGACAGUUUGAUUUAGGCACUACUGGAAUUGUAUGCUGGGAUUUUGGGCGCCAAUCGUCGACCAUUGUGUACUAAAUUUCAUGGUAAUUGACGUUGAAAGUACGUUGAGUUGUGCGAUCUCCGGGAAGUUCCACGUGGGUUUGGUGGAACUUGGUGAAGUCCCACUGCCGUAUUUUGUAUUGUGUUUUUUUUAAUUUUAUUUCUCUGCAUUUUAUUUUUAUUUUGCCUCUUCAUUCAUUCCAACAUUUGGGUGUUAGAGACUGUUACAAAAUCCAGCAUUUGAGCUGUUACGGGAACGACCCAGUAGCAUACCACUCUGUAAAUUGAACUGUACAUGUGGUCAGGAAUAAACCUGGAGCUACAGGAACCCCUGAA
Micropterus dolomieu (smallmouth bass) is the source of this 565-nucleotide long non-coding RNA. RefSeq lists it as uncharacterized. NCBI's taxonomy places the organism in Eukaryota, Metazoa, Chordata, Actinopteri, Centrarchiformes, Centrarchidae. The record is from RefSeq and is a predicted model, not a curated record. The transcript has 3 exons.